GAGUUUGAUCAUGGCUCAGAACGAACGCUGGCGGCAUGCCUAACACAUGCAAGUCGAACGCCCCGCAAGGGGAGUGGCGGACGGGUGAGUAACACGUGGGCAACCUGCCUUUUACAGGGGGAUAACACAAAGAAAUUUGUGCUAAUACCGCAUAAUACAAUUAUAUGGCAUCAUAGAAUUGUCAAAGGAGCAAAUCCGGGUAAAAAGAUGGGCCCGCGUCCGAUUAGUUAGUUGGUGAGGUAAUGGCUCACCAAGACCGCGAUCGGUAGCCGGACUGAGAGGUCGAACGGCCACAUUGGGACUGAGACACGGCCCAGACUCCUACGGGAGCAGCAGUGGGGAAUAUUGCACAAUGGGGGAAACCCUGAUGCAGCAACG
Molecule: ribosomal RNA, 378 nt
Filed under: uncultured Clostridia bacterium
Lineage: Bacteria; Bacillati; Bacillota; Clostridia
Description: bacterial SSU rRNA
Rfam family: Bacterial small subunit ribosomal RNA
Source: RNAcentral